Chelonoidis abingdonii (Abingdon island giant tortoise) is the source of this 174-nucleotide unclassified non-coding RNA. Lineage: Eukaryota; Metazoa; Chordata; Testudines; Testudinidae. The record is from Ensembl.
GUGACAAGCCUGGAGACUGAAAGCCUCUUUAUCCACAGAAGUAGUACAACUAAGGCAGUGAUGCAAGCUUCCCCAUAUUGUCCUUCCAAUGUAUUUCAACCUCAGCAUAAGAGAGACCACUUCUAUAGAUGAGAGAUAACCAAGCUUUCGGACCCUACCAAUAAAGGUGCCAGU